This 200-nucleotide ribosomal RNA is filed under the name uncultured bacterium. Its description in RNAcentral is "partial 16S ribosomal RNA". It matches the Rfam family "Bacterial small subunit ribosomal RNA", at positions 29 to 256 of the family's 1533-position model. The record is from RNAcentral.
AACGAACGCUGGCGGCAGGCUUAACACAUGCAAGUCGAACGCACCUUUCGGGGUGAGUGGCAGACGGGUGAGUAACGCGUGGGAACGUGCCCUUCAGUUCGGGAUAACCUAGGGAAACUUGGGCUAAUACCGGAUACGUGCGAGAGCAGAAAGAUUUAUCGCUGAAGGAUCGGCCCGCGUCUGAUUAGCUAGUUGGUGAG